CCGUCCUUCUUUGAUCUGCGUUGAACAGCUAGUGUGGAGUUGAAUCCCUUGGCUUUCACCAUGAUGUCCAUCCAUCCACAUGCCGCAGAGGUCUGAUGGCUCGGAUGUGUUUGACCGUGUUUUCAGAAGGAUGAGUUGAGUGAACAACUGGUGAAGAUUUCCUUUGGUCGGUAGUUGUGCUAGGAUGAUCUGAAUGACGGCAGUAUGCCGCCUCGCAGAUGGCAGUGAGAUGGGAUCACUUCCUGAGAAGUCUAGUAAGCUGAAGGUGGAGAUGACAUGGGAUCUCUGGAACGGGGCGAUUCAAGGCCAGGUGUGAUCUUCACCUGGACCUGAAGGAUGCAAGAUGACCGCUGUAGCGGUUCUGUGUGAUUGCAAGUGGACUGGACUGUGUGAACAGGCUUUAGGCAGUUUUCUGUUUUAAUAAAACUCAUAAUCUAGAAGUUUAA
This is a long non-coding RNA of Triplophysa rosa, 446 nucleotides long. RefSeq lists it as uncharacterized. Lineage: Eukaryota; Metazoa; Chordata; Actinopteri; Cypriniformes; Nemacheilidae. The transcript is spliced from 7 exons. The record is from RefSeq and is a predicted model, not a curated record.